CUUUUGGGGUGAUCCUUUAUUCGCGUAAAGGCAGGGUUAACUUUCAUGACCCGAACCCGUCAGCUAACCUCGUAAGCGUUGUGAAGGAGAUAU
Molecule: non-coding RNA, 93 nt
Filed under: Bacillus sp. (in: firmicutes)
Lineage: Bacteria; Bacillati; Bacillota; Bacilli; Caryophanales; Bacillaceae
Description: Bacillus sp. c-di-AMP sequence
Rfam family: c-di-AMP riboswitch aptamer (ydaO/yuaA leader)
About the family: This family represents a conserved RNA structure found upstream of the ydaO and yuaA genes in Bacillus subtilis and related genes in other bacteria.
Source: RNAcentral